Sander lucioperca (pikeperch) is the source of this 323-nucleotide long non-coding RNA. RefSeq lists it as uncharacterized. Lineage: Eukaryota; Metazoa; Chordata; Actinopteri; Perciformes; Percidae. The transcript has 3 exons. The record is from RefSeq and is a predicted model, not a curated record.
UUGUUGGAACAUGUGUAGGGUGUAGAAAUAUAUUGUGUUAAGAAUAGAAUGUCCUGUAGCCUGGGAUGGCCUCGCUCUCUACUCUUGUCUGGCAUGUGUAAGAUAAGACAGUUGCAGAAGGAGCAAAUUGCUCCUGAUAAACAUUUGGGACAGAAUGCACCCAGUAUAAUAUCUAAUAGUGACAGCCAGUCUUGAUGCCAGGAGAGGAGGAGAGAAUAGGAGUGAUUCCAGGGCUUGCGCAUAUUUUGCUAUCUUCACGGGGGACAGAACGUCUGAGCUAUGACCAACUGAUUAGAGGCAUAGACACCAUGACGGAAGGAGGA